UACGGAGGGUGCAAGCGUUAUCCGGAUUCACUGGGUUUAAAGGGUGCGUAGGUGGGUUGGUAAGUCAGUGGUGAAAUCUCCGAGCUUAACUUGGAAACUGCCAUUGAUACUAUCAGUCUUGAAUAUUGUGGAGGUCAGCGGAAUAUGUCAUGUAGCGGUGAAAUGCUUAGAUAUGACAUAGAACACCAAUUGCGAAGGCAGCUGGCUACACAUAUAUUGACACUGAGGCACGAAAGCGUGGGGAUCAAACAGG
This 253-nucleotide ribosomal RNA is filed under the name uncultured bacterium. RNAcentral describes it as "partial 16S ribosomal RNA". It matches the Rfam family "Bacterial small subunit ribosomal RNA", at positions 524 to 776 of the family's 1533-position model. The record is from RNAcentral. RNAcentral also lists the same sequence under 2 other names.